GUAACGCGUGAGCGACAUGCCCGUUGCCCGGGGACAACCGGUGGAAACGCCGACUAAUCCCCGAUGGGAUAUUGUGCCGCAUGGCACGAUAUUGAAAGUUACGGCGGCGACGGAUUGGCUCGCGUCCGAUUAGCUUGUUGGCGGGGUAACGGCCCACCAAGGCUACGAUCGGUAGGGGUUCUGAGAGGAAGGCCCCCCACAAUGGGACUGAGACACGGCCCAUACUCCUACGGGAGGCAGCAGUGAGGAAUAUUGGUCAAUGGGCGGAAGCCUGAACCAGCCAUGCCGCGUGCGGGAAGGAGGCCCUAUGGGCUGUGAACCGCUUUUGCCUGGGGGCAAUAAGGGCGUCGCGCACGCCCGAUGAGAGUACCAGGCGAAUAAGCAUCGGCUAACUCCGUGCCAGCAGCCGCGGUAAUACGGGGGAUGCGGGCGUUAUCCGGAUUCAUUGGGUUUAAAGGGUGCGUAGGCUGUGCGUCAAGUCGGGGGUGAAAUUCCGGUGCUCAACACCGGGGCUGCCCUUGAUACUGUCGCGCUGGAGUGCGGAUGCCGCCGGAGGAAUGAGUGG
RNAcentral lists this ribosomal RNA (565 nucleotides) under uncultured bacterium. Its description in RNAcentral is "bacterial SSU rRNA". It matches the Rfam family "Bacterial small subunit ribosomal RNA", at positions 110 to 673 of the family's 1533-position model. The record is from RNAcentral.